Molecule: transfer RNA, 75 nt
Filed under: Clostridia bacterium
Lineage: Bacteria; Bacillati; Bacillota; Clostridia
Description: tRNA-Val
Rfam family: tRNA
About the family: Transfer RNA (tRNA) molecules are approximately 80 nucleotides in length. Their secondary structure includes four short double-helical elements and three loops (D, anti-codon, and T loops). Further hydrogen bonds mediate the characteristic L-shaped molecular structure. tRNAs have two regions of fundamental functional importance: the anti-codon, which is responsible for specific mRNA codon recognition, and the 3' end, to which the tRNAs corresponding amino acid is attached (by aminoacyl-tRNA synthetases). tRNAs cope with the degeneracy of the genetic code in two manners: having more than one tRNA (with a specific anti-codon) for a particular amino acid; and 'wobble' base-pairing, i.e. permitting non-standard base-pairing at the 3rd anti-codon position.
Source: RNAcentral
GCGAGAUUAACUCAGUGGUAGAGUGUUUCCUUGACGUGGAAAAAGCCAUGGGUUCGACCCCCUUAUCUCGCACCA